UGUUUCCUAAAUUAGGUGAGGUGCCUGACAGAUAAAUGAAAAUGAGUAAGGUAGCCAUGGCAACUAAUUGAACAAAACAAAACAGAGAUGGCUGUGGUAAUGGCAAUAAUACUCCUUGGCAGGAGGGAGAAGAGGGCCACAGAACCUUCAACAGGGACUUCACCAUUGUUCCCUUCUGCUGGCCUAUAUAUGGCUCCAAGUGGUCUUGGGAGAUGCUAGUGUGUACAGACAUGGAAAGUCAGCUGAAGGUGGACUCUAUGAUGCAGCCUCCACAAGGUCAUCAUCCUUGACAUGCUGGAACCUUUCAGUGAUGCACCUACACUCUUUUAAGGAACCCUCCACAUAUGUUCUGUAAGUAAGCCCAAUAAACCCAUUGCUUCGCCAA
Long non-coding RNA from Peromyscus eremicus (cactus mouse), 385 nucleotides. RefSeq lists it as uncharacterized. The transcript has 2 exons. The record is from RefSeq and is a predicted model, not a curated record. NCBI's taxonomy places the organism in Eukaryota, Metazoa, Chordata, Mammalia, Rodentia, Cricetidae.